Molecule: ribosomal RNA, 393 nt
Filed under: uncultured Chloroflexota bacterium
Lineage: Bacteria; Bacillati; Chloroflexota
Description: bacterial SSU rRNA
Rfam family: Bacterial small subunit ribosomal RNA
Source: RNAcentral
AAUGGACGCAAGUCUGAGGCAGCAACACCGCGUGGAGGAUGAAGGCUUUCGAGUUGUAAACUCCUUUUCUGGGGGAAGAGAAAGGACGGUACCCCAGGAAUAAGUCUCGGCUAACUACGUGCCAGCAGCCGCGGUAAAACGUGGGAGGCGAGCGUUAUCCGGAUUUACUGGGCGUAAAGCGCAUGCAGGCGGUUUUCUAAGUCGGACGUGAAAGCUCCUGGCUCAACUAGGAGAGGCCGUUCGAAACUAGGGAACUUGAGGGUGGUAGAGGUGAGUGGAAUUCCAGGUGUAGUGGUGAAAUGCGUAGAUAUCUGGGGGAACACCAGUGGCGAAAGCGGCUCACUGGGCCAUACCUGACGCUCAGAUGCGAAAGCUAGGGGAGAGAACGGGAUU